AGACGAUGGGGAUGCGUUCCAUUAGAUAGUAGGCGGGGUAACGGCCCACCUAGUCUUCGAUGGAUAGGGGUUCUGAGAGGAAGGUCCCCCACAUUGGAACUGAGACACGGUCCAAACUCCUACGGGAGGCAGCAGUGAGGAAUAUUGGUCAAUGGGCGAGAGCCUGAACCAGCCAAGUAGCGUGAAGGAUGACUGCCCUAUGGGUUGUAAACUUCUUUUAUAAAGGAAUAAAGUCGGGUAUGGAUACCCGUUUGCAUGUACUUUAUGAAUAAGGAUCGGCUAACUCCGUGCCAGCAGCCGCGGUAAUACGGAGGAUCCGAGCGUUAUCCGGAUUUAUUGGGUUUAAAGGGAGCGUAGAUGGAUGUUUAAGUCAGUUGUGAAAGUUUGCGGCUCAACCGUAAAAUUGCAGUUGAUACUGGAUAUCUUGAGUGCAGUUGAGGCAGGCGGAAUUCGUGGUGUAGCGGUGAAAUGCUUAGAUAUCACGAAGAACUCCGAUUGCGAAGGCAGCCUGCUAAGCUGCAACUGACAUUGAGGCUCGAAAGUGUGGGUAUCAAACAGGAUUAGAUACCCUGGUAGUCCACACGGUAAACGAUGAAUACUCGCUGUUUGCGAUAUACUGCAA
This 622-nucleotide ribosomal RNA is filed under the name uncultured bacterium. RNAcentral's name for it is "bacterial SSU rRNA". It matches the Rfam family "Bacterial small subunit ribosomal RNA", at positions 220 to 842 of the family's 1533-position model. The record is from RNAcentral.